Molecule: ribosomal RNA, 397 nt
Filed under: uncultured bacterium
Lineage: Bacteria
Description: partial 16S ribosomal RNA
Rfam family: Bacterial small subunit ribosomal RNA
Source: RNAcentral
AUACGUAGGGGGCGAGCGUUGUCCGGAAUGAUUGGGCGUAAAGGGCGCGUAGGCGGCCCGGUAAGUCUGGAGUGUAAGUCCUGUUUUUAAGAUGGGAAUUGCUUUGGAUACUGUCGGGCUUGAGUGCAGGAGAGGUAAGUGGAAUUCCCAGUGUAGCGGUGAAAUGCGUAGAGAUUGGGAGGAACACCAGUGGCGAAGGCGACUUACUGGACUGUAACUGACGCUGAGGCGCGAAAGUGUGGGGAGCAAACAGGAUUAGAUACCCUGGUAGUCCACACUGUAAACGAUGAAUGCUAGGUGUAGGGGGUAUCGACCCCUUCUGUGCCGCAGUCAACACAAUAAGCAUUCCGCCUGGGGAGUACGGCCGCAAGGUUGAAACUCAAAGGAAUUGACGGGG